GGCCAGGUAGCUCAGUCGGUAGAGCAACGGACUGAAAAUCCGUGUGUCCCCAGUUCGAUUCUGGGCCUGGCCA
RNAcentral lists this transfer RNA (73 nucleotides) under bacterium. RNAcentral's name for it is "tRNA-Phe". It matches the Rfam family "tRNA". Rfam says of the family: Transfer RNA (tRNA) molecules are approximately 80 nucleotides in length. Their secondary structure includes four short double-helical elements and three loops (D, anti-codon, and T loops). Further hydrogen bonds mediate the characteristic L-shaped molecular structure. tRNAs have two regions of fundamental functional importance: the anti-codon, which is responsible for specific mRNA codon recognition, and the 3' end, to which the tRNAs corresponding amino acid is attached (by aminoacyl-tRNA synthetases). tRNAs cope with the degeneracy of the genetic code in two manners: having more than one tRNA (with a specific anti-codon) for a particular amino acid; and 'wobble' base-pairing, i.e. permitting non-standard base-pairing at the 3rd anti-codon position. RNAcentral also lists the same sequence under 3 other names. The record is from RNAcentral.